GACGAACGCUGGCGGCGUGCUUAACACAUGCAAGUCGAACGGAAAGGCCCUGCUUUUGUGGGGUGCUCGAGUGGCGAACGGGUGAGUAAAACGUGAGUAAACUGCCCUUGACUUUGGGAUAACUUCAGGAAACUGGGGCUAAUACCGGAUAGGAGCUCCUGCUGCAUGGUGGGGGUUGGAAAGUUUCGGCGGUUGGGGAUGGACUCGCGGCUUAUCAGCUUGUUGGUGGGGUAGUGGCUUACCAAGGCUUUGACGGGUAGCCGGCCUGAGAGGGUGACCGGCCACAUUGGUACUGAGAUACGGCCCAGACUCCUACGGGAGGCAGCAGUGGGGAAUAUUGCACAAUGGGCGGAAGCCUGAUGCAGCAACGCCGCGUGCGGGAUGACGGCCUUCGGGUUGUAAACCGCUUUCGCCUGUGACGAAGCGUGAGUGACGGUAAUGGGUAAAGAAGCACCGGCUAACUACGUG
RNAcentral lists this ribosomal RNA (468 nucleotides) under uncultured bacterium. RNAcentral's name for it is "partial 16S ribosomal RNA". It matches the Rfam family "Bacterial small subunit ribosomal RNA", at positions 28 to 507 of the family's 1533-position model. The record is from RNAcentral.